UUAAGCGACUAAGCGUACACGGUGGAUGCCCUGGCAGUCAGAGGCGAUGAAGGACGUGCUAAUCUGCGAUAAGCGUCGGUAAGGUGAUAUGAACCGUUAUAACCGGCGAUUUCCGAAUGGGGAAACCCAGUGUGAUUCGUCACACUAUCAUUAACUGAAUCCAUAGGUUAAUGAGGCGAACCGGGGGAACUGAAACAUCUAAGUACCCCGAGGAAAAGAAAUCAACCGAGAUUCCCCCAGUAGCGGCGAGCGAACGGGGAGCAGCCCAGAGCCUGAAUCAGUGUGUGUGUUAGUGGAAGCGUCUGGAAAGGCGCGCGAUACAGGGUGACAGCCCCGUACACAAAAAUGCACAUGCUGUGAGCUCGAUGAGUAGGGCGGGACACGUGGUAUCCUGUCUGAAUAUGGGGGGACCAUCCUCCAAGGCUAAAUACUCCUGACUGACCGAUAGUGAACCAGUACCGUGAGGGAAAGGCGAAAAGAACCCCGGCGAGGGGAGUGAAAAAGAACCUGAAACCGUGUACGUACAAGCAGUGGGAGCACGCUUAGGCGUGUGACUGCGUACCUUUUGUAUAAUGGGUCAGCGACUUAUAUUCUGUAGCAAGGUUAACCGAAUAGGGGAGCCGAAGGGAAACCGAGUCUUAACUGGGCGUUAAGUUGCAGGGUAUAGACCCGAAACCCGGUGAUCUAGCCAUGGGCAGGUUGAAGGUUGGGUAACACUAACUGGAGGACCGAACCGACUAAUGUUGAAAAAUUAGCGGAUGACUUGUGGCUGGGGGUGAAAGGCCAAUCAAACCGGGAGAUAGCUGGUUCUCCCCGAAAGCUAUUUAGGUAGCGCCUCGUGAAUUCAUCUCCGGGGGUAGAGCACUGUUUCGGCAAGGGGGUCAUCCCGACUUACCAACCCGAUGCAAACUGCGAAUACCGGAGAAUGUUAUCACGGGAGACACACGGCGGGUGCUAACGUCCGUCGUGAAGAGGGAAACAACCCAGACCGCCAGCUAAGGUCCCAAAGUCAUGGUUAAGUGGGAAACGAUGUGGGAAGGCCCAGACAGCCAGGAUGUUGGCUUAGAAGCAGCCAUCAUUUAAAGAAAGCGUAAUAGCUCACUGGUCGAGUCGGCCUGCGCGGAAGAUGUAACGGGGCUAAACCAUGCACCGAAGCUGCGGCAGCGACACUGUGUGUUGUUGGGUAGGGGAGCGUUCUGUAAGCCUGCGAAGGUGUGCUGUGAGGCAUGCUGGAGGUAUCAGAAGUGCGAAUGCUGACAUAAGUAACGAUAAAGCGGGUGAAAAGCCCGCUCGCCGGAAGACCAAGGGUUCCUGUCCAACGUUAAUCGGGGCAGGGUGAGUCGACCCCUAAGGCGAGGCCGAAAGGCGUAGUCGAUGGGAAACAGGUUAAUAUUCCUGUACUUGGUGUUACUGCGAAGGGGGGACGGAGAAGGCUAUGUUGGCCGGGCGACGGUUGUCCCGGUUUAAGCGUGUAGGCUGGUUUUCCAGGCAAAUCCGGAAAAUCAAGGCUGAGGCGUGAUGACGAGGCACUACGGUGCUGAAGCAACAAAUGCCCUGCUUCCAGGAAAAGCCUCUAAGCAUCAGGUAACAUCAAAUCGUACCCCAAACCGACACAGGUGGUCAGGUAGAGAAUACCAAGGCGCUUGAGAGAACUCGGGUGAAGGAACUAGGCAAAAUGGUGCCGUAACUUCGGGAGAAGGCACGCUGAUAUGUAGGUGAAGUCCCUCGCGGAUGGAGCUGAAAUCAGUCGAAGAUACCAGCUGGCUGCAACUGUUUAUUAAAAACACAGCACUGUGCAAACACGAAAGUGGACGUAUACGGUGUGACGCCUGCCCGGUGCCGGAAGGUUAAUUGAUGGGGUCAGCGCAAGCGAAGCUCUUGAUCGAAGCCCCGGUAAACGGCGGCCGUAACUAUAACGGUCCUAAGGUAGCGAAAUUCCUUGUCGGGUAAGUUCCGACCUGCACGAAUGGCGUAAUGAUGGCCAGGCUGUCUCCACCCGAGACUCAGUGAAAUUGAACUCGCUGUGAAGAUGCAGUGUACCCGCGGCAAGACGGAAAGACCCCGUGAACCUUUACUAUAGCUUGACACUGAACAUUGAGCCUUGAUGUGUAGGAUAGGUGGGAGGCUUUGAAGUGUGGACGCCAGUCUGCAUGGAGCCGACCUUGAAAUACCACCCUUUAAUGUUUGAUGUUCUAACGUUGACCCGUGAUCCGGGUUGCGGACAGUGUCUGGUGGGUAGUUUGACUGGGGCGGUCUCCUCCUAAAGAGUAACGGAGGAGCACGAAGGUUGGCUAAUCCUGGUCGGACAUCAGGAGGUUAGUGCAAUGGCAUAAGCCAGCUUGACUGCGAGCGUGACGGCGCGAGCAGGUGCGAAAGCAGGUCAUAGUGAUCCGGUGGUUCUGAAUGGAAGGGCCAUCGCUCAACGGAUAAAAGGUACUCCGGGGAUAACAGGCUGAUACCGCCCAAGAGUUCAUAUCGACGGCGGUGUUUGGCACCUCGAUGUCGGCUCAUCACAUCCUGGGGCUGAAGUAGGUCCCAAGGGUAUGGCUGUUCGCCAUUUAAAGUGGUACGCGAGCUGGGUUUAGAACGUCGUGAGACAGUUCGGUCCCUAUCUGCCGUGGGCGCUGGAGAACUGAGGGGGGCUGCUCCUAGUACGAGAGGACCGGAGUGGACGCAUCACUGGUGUUCGGGUUGUCAUGCCAAUGGCACUGCCCGGUAGCUAAAUGCGGAAGAGAUAAGUGCUGAAAGCAUCUAAGCACGAAACUUGCCCCGAGAUGAGUUCUCCCUGACUCCUUGAGAGUCCUGAAGGAACGUUGAAGACGACGACGUUGAUAGGCCGGGUGUGUAAGCGCAGCGAUGCGUUGAGCUAACCGGUACUAAUGAACCGUGAGGCUUAACCUU
Molecule: ribosomal RNA, 2901 nt
Filed under: Escherichia coli
Lineage: Bacteria; Pseudomonadati; Pseudomonadota; Gammaproteobacteria; Enterobacterales; Enterobacteriaceae
Description: bacterial LSU rRNA
Rfam family: Bacterial large subunit ribosomal RNA
Source: RNAcentral